UACGGAGGGUGCGAGCGUUUGUCCGGAAUCACUGGGCGUAAAGGGCGCGUAGGCGGCGCGGGGAGUCAACGGUGAAAGCUCGGCGCUCAACGCCGAGUCGGCCGUCGAUACUCCCGUGCUCGAGCACUGUAGAGGGCAGGUGGAAUUCCGGGGUGUAGCGGUGGAAUGCGUAGAGAUCCGGAAGAACACCGGUGGCGCAAGGCGGCCUGACUGGGCCAGGUAGCUGGACGCUGAGGCGCGACAGCGUGGGGAGCGAACAGGAGUUAGAGUA
Molecule: ribosomal RNA, 271 nt
Filed under: uncultured bacterium
Lineage: Bacteria
Description: partial 16S ribosomal RNA
Rfam family: Bacterial small subunit ribosomal RNA
Source: RNAcentral